AGCAGCCUAAUAUGUCAAUCAUCGUCUUUCUGUACUUUUGUUGGAAGGUCAUGACCUAUCAGCCAAUGUAAUUACAAUCCCAGGUAGAGGGGCGGGGCUUAGCUGUAACCUGCAGAGAUCCAGUCAGAGAGACAGAAACGCUAAGUGAACGGACUUUGUGAGGUUUAGUAGGUUGUAGAAGGACAUUGUUAUCCAUUACUGAGGCUGACAACCAGUUAUGCUGUGUUUUGGCAUAUUGAAAUCGACAAGAGAGACGGACAUUUGUGACUGUAAAAGAGAGAGGAUCGGGGAAGCUCCUUUGGACCACACAGAGAGCGAUCUUCCAUCCUGCUGGUGUGAUGUAGACUGCCGCUGCUGUUUUCUGUUCUGCUGAUCUUCCUGCUGUGGUUUACCCGGUGCUCUGCCUGCUGCCAUCGCCAAGUUCGCCUUUAUAUCCCCUUGACUGGGAUUCUGACUCCCCUCAUCCGCUCCAUCUACAACUUCCUGUAAGGGAGAUCACAUUCUCCGAAACAGUGCUGAUCCAGUUCAACUUUUCCCGAGGAGGCUGCGGGGUCAUCCAUUGUUUUGAAAGGUGUCACUUGACUGUCAGCUCUCCAUCGCAGCCCUGCAUGGCAGUCAAGAAAAGAACCUCCUGAACCAUUCCUGCUUAACUCACCUCCACUGGACCUUGCACAUU
Molecule: long non-coding RNA, 676 nt
Organism: Perca fluviatilis (European perch)
Lineage: Eukaryota; Metazoa; Chordata; Actinopteri; Perciformes; Percidae
Exons: 3
Source: RefSeq, a predicted model, not a curated record